Long non-coding RNA from Perca fluviatilis (European perch), 215 nucleotides. RefSeq lists it as uncharacterized. The record is from RefSeq and is a predicted model, not a curated record. The transcript has 3 exons. Lineage: Eukaryota; Metazoa; Chordata; Actinopteri; Perciformes; Percidae.
CUUCGCCUGGUCUGUGUGCGAGGUGCCGGUGAGCGGAGAGGGACCCGGUGGAGCGGCGAUGUUGGAGGUGGUGCUGUUCGUCUGUACUGCUGGACUGUGGAGCGUGAUGAUGAUAUCCAGGACUUGAUCAGACUGAACAUCUGGAUUCUAUUCUCAGGGAAAACAUACCUACUUUAAAGUGCACUGCAUGGCGUGAGCUGACUUCAGCGUCUGCC